This 410-nucleotide ribosomal RNA is filed under the name uncultured bacterium. RNAcentral describes it as "bacterial SSU rRNA". It matches the Rfam family "Bacterial small subunit ribosomal RNA", at positions 97 to 518 of the family's 1533-position model. The record is from RNAcentral.
GGCGGACGGGUGGAGUAACGCGUGGGUAACCUACGCCUCAUACAGGGGGAGUAACAGCUGGAAACGGACUGCUAACACCGCAUAAGACAUACAGCAUCGCAUGAUGCAGUGUGAAAAUAUUAAUAGGUAUGAGAUGGGCCCGCGUCUGAUUAGCUGGUUGGUGAGGUAAUGGCUCACCAAGGCGACGAUCAGUAGCCGGCUUGAGAGAGUGACCGGCCACAUUGGGACUGAGACACGGCCCAAACUCCUACGGGAGGCAGCAGUGGGGAAUAUUGCACAAUGGGGGAAACCCUGAUGCCAGCGACGCCGCGUGAGUGAAGAAGUAUUUCGGUAUGUAAAGCUCUAUCAGCAGGGAAGAAAAUGACGGUACCUGACUAAGAAGCCCCGGCUAACUACGUGCCAGCCGCCGC